This 253-nucleotide ribosomal RNA is filed under the name uncultured bacterium. RNAcentral's name for it is "partial 16S ribosomal RNA". It matches the Rfam family "Bacterial small subunit ribosomal RNA", at positions 524 to 776 of the family's 1533-position model. The record is from RNAcentral.
UACGGGGGGGGCAAGCGUUGUUCGGAAUUACUGGGCGUAAAGGGCUCGUAGGCGGCCAACUAAGUCCGACGUGAAAUCCCAAGGCUUAACCUUGGAACUGCGUCGGAUACUGGAUGGCUUGAAUUCGGGAGAGGGAUGCAGAAUUCCAGGUGUAGCGGUGAAAUUCGUAGAUAUUCGCAAGAACACCAGUGGCGAAGGCGGCUCACUGGCCCGGAACUGACGCUGAGGUGCGAAAGCGUGGGGAGCAAACAGG